GUGUGUAUGUAUAUACAGUUAUACAUAAAGAAAUCACUGUAGAAAUAAUUUUUUCUAUUAAUUUUAAUAGUUGGAGAUAUAAAUCACCUCAAAUCAUAUAACAAUUCUUUCAGUAACACAGAUAUUUUGUGACCAUAUGUAAUUCUGAACUUUUUUUCUCCAUAAAGGCAACUGCAAAAUAAUCACUUACAAGUCAUAACACCCUUUAAACAAGAUUUUUUGUCUAGUUUUAUGAGUACAAUAUCCUUUAUUGGGAGACAAUAUUCAGUUACAUGAAGAUGACAAUCUCCCCAAUAGAAACUGAGUCUUCUGGAACUACUGAACUCUCUGUGACAGCCUGUGUACAUGAGCUGGAGGACAUUGUGAUAAGUUUUUACUACCAUCACUAUUAUAGCACAAAUAUUUUUGGGAAAGCUAUUGAAAAAAUGAAAUUCUAAAUGAUAUUUUGGCAAGAUUUAAUCAUGAAAGAUUUAAAUAUUUUUCCUGUUAAUAAUGAAGCUACAUCAUUCAACAGUCAGAAUGUUUGAAUGGCAAGCCAGUGAGCUGAGUUUUCCAUGAAACUUCUAACAAUAUGCAAUCUCAUUGUCAGUCCAUGGGUCAAGCCACACAUGUCUAAAAUUUGGGUUCAGAAAAAUAUCUAAGUUGCCACAAAUAUUUUCCCAGUCAAGAUGAAACACUUUCAAAUGAAAGUAGUUAGAACUUUACAUAACAAAAUGUGGUGCUUUAUUAUUCUUCUUGUUAUUAUUAUUAUUAUUACUAUUAUGUCUUUCAGUGUUCGUUAUUGAAACUACUGCAAUACUGUAUCAUAAAUGUGCAGGAUGACUAUUCCAGCUAUCACAAGGUCCAAAAGAGAAAGUAUUAUUUUCCUGUUAAUGACAUGUAGUCCCUUUGUUCUAGUAGAUAAAAGGUGCCUAGAGGUAGUAUGUAGAGUAAAUAUUGUUCUAUUAGUCUACUUCCUGCAGCUUCCAUUAUCUAAGGAAAUGUCCAUAACAAUUUUGUUUACGAGUCUUUGUUCUAGUCAAUAACAGGAGAUGUCCAUACUACUGGGCUGAUUUUGCUUACAUCUACAAAAGAAAUGUCACGUGAUACUCAGGCCUCGCUUUCUCUUCCAUCAUACAUCUUCAAGGAAUGUCAAUAAACUCACUUUGGUAUGGCACUGAGUAUGUUCCUUAUUGCAAAAAGAAGUCUAUGAUAACACACGAAAAUCUCUAUCAAGCCUGUGCUCUUGGUGAAUAGUGUGAGCAAUAAAACAACACAGAAGAGUACCAACUUCAAGGUCAAAC
RNAcentral lists this long non-coding RNA (1283 nucleotides) under Cricetulus griseus (Chinese hamster). Its description in RNAcentral is "lncRNA (ENSCGRG00015036213.1)". Lineage: Eukaryota; Metazoa; Chordata; Mammalia; Rodentia; Cricetidae. The record is from RNAcentral.